This 644-nucleotide long non-coding RNA is filed under the name Heterocephalus glaber (naked mole-rat). RNAcentral's name for it is "lncRNA (ENSHGLG00100043516.1)". The record is from RNAcentral. Lineage: Eukaryota; Metazoa; Chordata; Mammalia; Rodentia; Bathyergidae.
CAAUGCCUGUGUGGACUUAGCUUCAGCUUAACAGGAAAGAUGAAGUAUAAAUAUGAUAGAUAUCAUCUCUAUUCUUAGGCAAGUUUGCCAAAGAGCAGCUCAACCCAUAUUGUUAUUUAAUUCUAAGGAUAAAGCCAUCUUCCCAUGGAGAAGGCGAUGUGCACAGGAGAUAAUGUUAAUGAAACUCUAGAAGAGUUGCCUGGAUCCUGGCAGAGGCAUUUAUUCUCACUAAUGAUGUGGAAUAGAACUGCAUAAUUGUGUCCAGUUGUAUUAAGUCUACCCAAGACUGUCAUGUCUUACAAAGGAACCAGCAACAAGCACCUACAAAAGUCCUGGAAUUUUCCUGUAAAAGCUAUACCUGGGGCUGGAAUCAUCAGCAAUUAUUCAUCAAUAAGGAAGAAGGAAUCAAACUCGGGACCUCAUGCUUGCGAGGCAGGCGGCAGAACCACAGAACUAAAUCCCCGGCCUGACUUCUCAUGUCUUUCUAGUUACACUGCAUUGUAAUAUCAUACAUUGACUUCUAAGGUGAUAUAAGCGAGUCUUUUUUUCCGUAGGCAUAGAGAUGUUUUCACAAAACCUCAUCUAUCGCUAAACAAAAUGCUUCCCUGAUGAUACAGGGAAAAGAAUAUACCUGUAGAAAGUAG